This 400-nucleotide ribosomal RNA is filed under the name uncultured bacterium. RNAcentral describes it as "bacterial SSU rRNA". It matches the Rfam family "Bacterial small subunit ribosomal RNA", at positions 355 to 747 of the family's 1533-position model. The record is from RNAcentral.
UGGGGAAUAUUGGACAAUGGGGGCAACCCUGAUCCAGCAAUGCCACGUGUGCGAUGAAGGCCUUCGGGUUGUAAAGCACUUUAGUGAGGAAGGAAGGUUGCUGUGCUAAUACCACAGUAAUUUGACAGUACCUCAAGAAUAAGCACCGGCAAACUCUGUGCCAGCAGCCGCGGUAAUACAGAGGGUGCGAGCGUUAAUCGGAAUUAUUGGGCGUAAAGGGCUUGUAGGUGGUUCUAUAAGUUAGAUGUGAAAACCCUGGGCUUAACCUGGGACGUGCAUUUAAUACUGUAGGGCUAGAGUAUGGUAGAGGAAAGGGGAAUUCCUGGUGUAGCAGUGAAAUGCGUAGAGAUCAGGAGGAACAUCAGUGGCGAAGGCGCCUUUCUGGACUAAUACUGACACU